CAGUAGCCGCGGUAAUACGAAGGGGGCUAGCGUUGCUCGGAAUCACUGGGCGUAAAGGGUGCGUAGGCGGGUCUUUAAGUCAGGGGUGGAAUCCUGGAGCUCAACUCCAGAACUGCCUUUGAUACUGAAGAUCUUGAGUUCGGGAGAGGUGAGUGGAACUGCGAGUGUAGAGGUGAAAUUCGUAGAUAUUCGCAAGAACACCAGUGGCGAAGGCGGCUCACUGGCCCGAUACUGACGCUGAGGCACGAAAGCGUGGGGAGCAAACAGGAUUAGAUACCCCUGUAGUCCCUGUCUCUUAUAA
This 301-nucleotide ribosomal RNA is filed under the name uncultured bacterium. RNAcentral's name for it is "partial 16S ribosomal RNA". It matches the Rfam family "Bacterial small subunit ribosomal RNA", at positions 509 to 809 of the family's 1533-position model. The record is from RNAcentral.